Molecule: ribosomal RNA, 424 nt
Filed under: uncultured bacterium
Lineage: Bacteria
Description: bacterial SSU rRNA
Rfam family: Bacterial small subunit ribosomal RNA
Source: RNAcentral
UCGAGAAUCUUCGGCAAUGGGCGCAAGCCUGACCGAGCGAUGCCGCGUGCGGGAUGAAGGCCUUCGGGUUGUAAACCGCUGUCGAGGGGGAGCAACUUCCAUAGAGUUAUCUUUAUGGAUUGAGUGAUCCCUGGAGGAAGGACGGGCUAAGUUCGUGCCAGCAGCCGCGGUAAGACGAACCGUCCAAACGUUAUUCGGUAUCACUGGGCUUAAAGAGUUCGUAGGCGGCUAAACAGGUGAGGUGUGAAAGCCCUCGGCUCAACCGAGGAACUGCGCUUCAAACCGUUUAGCUAGAGGAAGACAGAGGUGAGCGGAACUGAUGGUGGAGCGGUGAAAUGCGUUGAUAUCAUCAGGAACACCGGUGGCGAAAGCGGCUCACUGGGUCUUUUCUGACGCUGAGGAACGAAAGCUAGGGGAGCGAACG